GACGAACGCUGGCGGCGGGCUUAACACAUGCAAGUCGAACGGAAAGGCCCUGCUUUUGUGGGGUGCUCGAGUGGCGAACGGGUGAGUAACACGGGAGUAACCUGCCCUUGGCUUUGGGAUAACUUCAGGAAACUGGUGCUAAUACCGGAUAGGAGCUCCUGCUGCAUGGUGGGGGUUGGAAAGUUUCGGCGGUUGGGGAUGGACUCGCGGCUUAUCAGCUUGUUGGUGGGGUAGGGGCUUACCAAGGCUUUGACGGGUAGCCGGCCUGAGAGGGUGACCGGCCACAUUGGGGCUGAGGUACGGCCCAGACUCCUACGGGGGGCAGCAGGGGGGAAUAUUGCACAAUGGGCGGAAGUCUGAGGCAGCAACGCCGCGUGCGGGAUGACGGCCUUGGGGUUGGAAACCGCUUUCGCCUGUGACGAUGCGGGAGUGACGGUAAUGGGUAAAUAAGCACCGGCUAACUACGUG
RNAcentral lists this ribosomal RNA (468 nucleotides) under uncultured bacterium. Its description in RNAcentral is "partial 16S ribosomal RNA". It matches the Rfam family "Bacterial small subunit ribosomal RNA", at positions 28 to 507 of the family's 1533-position model. The record is from RNAcentral.